RNAcentral lists this long non-coding RNA (1095 nucleotides) under Homo sapiens (human). RNAcentral's name for it is "HSALNT0007348". The record is from RNAcentral. Lineage: Eukaryota; Metazoa; Chordata; Mammalia; Primates; Hominidae.
AGAUUUAAUACUUGUGAUUAUGAUAACAAUGACAAUGAUGAUAGAAGUGAAGGAGGAAAUUAGUGCCUUUCAAUAAACAUGGUACUGGAAUUUCAUGUGGAUCAGAAGUUUCCUUCAGUGGAAAACAAAAUUAGUUCCCUCCUCCAUGUUUCCCCAAUUCAUCUUAUGAUGUUCUUCCAAAAACAUACUAUUAUAUGCCCCUGAUAAUACCAUACCAGAUAAUGGAUUUCUUCCUGACUUCACCUUCUACUUGUUUGCCUCCAUUACUUUGCUCAUACUGUUUCCUCCUCUAGGCUUUUUCUUGCCUAUUCUCAUUUUUUGAAAUUCUUCUCAACCUGCAAAACCUGGCUGAAUGAAACCUUCUCUGACCAUUCUUUCUUCUUUGAUUCCUUUCUGUAUUUUACCUACUUCUAAUCUUGAUCCCUGCCAUGUGUUGGAGCCAUUUUCACAUGUCUGGAUCCCCCACUGAGAUUGUAAUCUCUUAGAGUAGAUGCUAAGCUGCUUAUAAACUGCAGAGAGAAAGAGCUGCAUACAACAUCUGCCACUGCACUAAUGUUCAGGGUGAUUCAGCCAAUGUGGUCCUAAUUCCACCUUGAACAGUCAUCCAUCAAAGGCAUAUAAGGAGCACCUUUCGAAGAGAUGGGAACUUCUUACAUUCAGGGAUACCCAGACAGUAAUCCAGCCAGGGCUUGUGAAGAAAGACAGGGAGAAGACCAUUUCCACUGGACACUCAACCCAUCCAUCCUAGCCACACAGAAAUGAAGGCAAAGAGCACUUCCUGGCAAGCAAGAGUUAAACAGAAGACUGAAUCCUCUUGCUGUGAAGACCAUCAAGGCCAAAUCUAGGAGGAUGCAAGACCCUGGUUAAGAAGGAAGCCCAGCCAUUUGUCCUUGGUCUCCUGGUAUACUGAUUGCAUUACCAACUUUCAGAGCCACUAUCAAGAGAAUUUGACUGUACAGUCACCUCUAACUCACGAAUUAUGGGACAUUAAGCCAGAAAGAAUAUCUCAACCCUCCCAUAUUUGUUCAGACCAUUAAACUAUCUUAUAUAGAGAGCAUAUUGGAAUUUGUAAUUUCUGUAGCCACAUCAAAUAAA